This 622-nucleotide ribosomal RNA is filed under the name Fusarium brachygibbosum. RNAcentral's name for it is "eukaryotic LSU rRNA". It matches the Rfam family "Eukaryotic large subunit ribosomal RNA", at positions 1 to 617 of the family's 3401-position model. The record is from RNAcentral. Lineage: Eukaryota; Fungi; Ascomycota; Sordariomycetes; Hypocreales; Nectriaceae.
UUGACCUCGGAUCAGGUAGGAAUACCCGCUGAACUUAAGCAUAUCAAUAAGCGGAGGAAAAGAAACCAACAGGGAUUGCCCUAGUAACGGCGAGUGAAGCGGCAACAGCUCAAAUUUGAAAUCUGGCUCUCGGGCCCGAGUUGUAAUUUGUAGAGGAUGCUUUUGAUGCGGUGCCUUCCGAGUUCCCUGGAACGGGACGCCAUAGAGGGUGAGAGCCCCGUCUGGUUGGAUGCCAAAUCUCUGUAAAGCUCCUUCGACGAGUCGAGUAGUUUGGGAAUGCUGCUCUAAAUGGGAGGAUUAUGUCUUCUAAAGCUAAAUACCGGCCAGAGACCGAUAGCGCACAAGUAGAGUGAUCGAAAGAUGAAAAGCACUUUGAAAAGAGAGUUAAAAAGUACGUGAAAUUGUUGAAAGGGAAGCGUUUAUGACCAGACUUGGGCUUGGUUAAUCAUCUGGGGUUCUCCCCAGUGCACUUUUCCAGUCCAGGCCAGCAUCAGUUUUCGCCGGGGGAUAAAGGCUUCGGGAAUGUGGCUCCCUCCGGGGAGUGUUAUAGCCCGUUGCGUAAUACCCUGGCGGGGACUGAGGUUCGCGCUUCUGCAAGGGAGUCGGCGUAAUUCUACAACAU